CUUGAGGGGCCGUUCGAGGUCUUCGGAGGGCUGCUGCUGCUGUCCGUGUUCGCCCGGGGAACAUUCAGCAGCAACUGGUCAGCAGACCUUUGAGUGUGAACAGGAAUGUCAGGGAGGAGAAGGUCAGCAAUGCAGGAAGGAGCCAAGGCUUGGCCGUACCCCACGAAGCAGUAAAACUUUCACAUCAACUCUAGAGGCCGUGAGAAGAACAGGUGUGUGUGUGUGUGUGUUACCUGGGAGCUCCGGGCCGUCCUCUGGAGCGCUUCCAGCUGUCCCCGACACAUAAGAGACAGAUGGCACGAAGGACAAAAAGACUCAAAGACAAUGAAGAAAGUACAGCAGCAAACCUUCAGCGGACCACAUGAAUGCUGAAGGGCGCCGCGCAGCUCUGUGACCACGGCUCCUGUGACUCCGCCUCCGUGAGGGGGCAUCGAUCCAGAGGAAGGCCAUGUGGUCUUGAGAUGACCUUGGCAGAAUUAGAUGGAGGCUUGCUAUCAUCACCUCACACACACACACACACACACACACACACACACACCAUGCAUACCAAUGGUCAAUGAAACCUAAGCAGGCUCUCUAUCAGCUAAAAACACACACACACACACACACACACGUACAAACCACGCACUAAGGUGCACACUGUCCGACACACACACAGUCACACGCAUUACCAACCACUGAUCUAUAGCAACCCUAUUGGGAAGUUACAACAAGCCAGAGGACAG
Gasterosteus aculeatus aculeatus (three-spined stickleback) is the source of this 725-nucleotide long non-coding RNA. The record is from Ensembl. Lineage: Eukaryota; Metazoa; Chordata; Actinopteri; Perciformes; Gasterosteidae.